UAAGGUCUCUCGCGCGGCGGUACCUCGCCCAACUCCCCCAGGGUCGGAAGGCAGCAAGGGUCAGUGAGCUCUUCCGGGUGCGCGAGAGGCCCCUUUU
This 97-nucleotide signal recognition particle RNA is filed under the name Propionibacterium acidifaciens. RNAcentral describes it as "signal recognition particle sRNA small type". It matches the Rfam family "Bacterial small signal recognition particle RNA". From Rfam's summary of the family: The signal recognition particle (SRP) is a universally conserved ribonucleoprotein involved in the co-translational targeting of proteins to membranes. Lineage: Bacteria; Bacillati; Actinomycetota; Actinomycetes; Propionibacteriales; Propionibacteriaceae. The record is from RNAcentral.